UACAACUUUCAACAAGGAUCUCUUGGCUCUGGCAUCGAUGAAGAACGCAGCGAAAUGCGAUAAGUAGUGUGAAUUGCAGAAUUCAGUGAAUCAUCGAAUCUUUGAACGCACAU
RNAcentral lists this ribosomal RNA (113 nucleotides) under Paraconiothyrium cyclothyrioides. Its description in RNAcentral is "5.8S ribosomal RNA". It matches the Rfam family "5.8S ribosomal RNA", at positions 1 to 111 of the family's 154-position model. Rfam says of the family: 5.8S ribosomal RNA (5.8S rRNA) is a component of the large subunit of the eukaryotic ribosome. It is transcribed by RNA polymerase I as part of the 45S precursor that also contains 18S and 28S rRNA. The record is from RNAcentral. Lineage: Eukaryota; Fungi; Ascomycota; Dothideomycetes; Pleosporales; Didymosphaeriaceae.